AAUUAAGGAUGUGCAGGAAGCUGUCCCGAGUAACUCAUUAAAGCCCAUUGAACCACUUUGAGCCGAAAUGAAGCCCCAUUCCUUUAAGAACUAUCGCGGCGUCUAGCACGAAAUUAGGGUUUUCCGGUCCAUUUAGCUAUCUAUAAAAUCGGGGCACCAUCUCUCACACUCGUCUGCUCCGUCUGUUCAAUUGGGUAAGGCUUUUUGUGUUCAAUUCUAAUUCUGACCGCUCUGUACGUGUUUGAGUGCUUUUCAUUCUAUGUUUUUGUUGAAAAGAAAGCCAAUUUGCAGAGCAAGUGCGUGUAUUAUGUAAAAAUGACGAAACUUGCAUUGAAGGUUGGCGAAAAGAAUUGCGAUUCUCCGUGCCUAUCAGAUUCACUUUGUUUUGAUUAUGGCCUCGAACAAGUCGCUACAUGUUCUAGAUUUUUCUUUUUCUUUUGAUUGAUUAUUUUCAUUGCUAUUUUGUAGGGUUUUUCAAUUUUUGAAUUCAUCGAAGUUAACGUAUUUGGAUGUGAGUUAUGAAUGAGCGAAGCUCUUUAAAUCCGUAUACUAUGAUGAUUUGGUUUUCUAAACUUGUGUUCUAAUUUGAUAAAGUUUAAAUAUAUGGUUAUUGAAUUGUGAUAAGUGUGAAAUAAAUGGUUAUUUUUAAAUCUAGUUUAUUUAGACUGGAAAAUAUGGUCAUCUAUAAAGCAAACUGGUUUUUAUGUACCAAGAUUGUGUCGGAAGAUGACUAAAUUCAUCUUUUGUCCUCCAUUCCGUUAAAACACAUGAAAUCUUGUGUUCAUGUAGUAUUAUAACAUCGGGGAUACAUAUUUUAUUUUAUUUUAAUGUUCGAUAUGCUCUUUGCAAGACGUUAAUAAUUCAAAAUGAUAGGAAAUAGAAGUUAAGGAAUAAUGGAAUGAAAAAUUGAAAUCAAACUUGUUUGAUAACUGGUAAUAAAAUUCAGUUUUCCAUUUUUGUUGAUUUUCAUCGAAUAUGACUCUGCCUCCUUUCUUACUCUUAAGCUUUCGAACAUAUAUUUAAGCACCUGUGUGGAGUUGGAUGCGUUGUUCAUAGUGUGUUUUCAUAGUCUUUUUUAGGAAUGCCAUUAAACAAUCUAUUUUCGUUAUGAUACAUGUGAUUUAACUAAGCUUUUGUUCAUAUCCAAUCUAAAUUUUAGUAAGAGUUCUGUCGUAUUUCCUACUAUAUGGGCGAACAACAAGAAUCAACAUAUUCCUCAAAACAUCUUUUGAUCCUUCAUAUGUUGAUUCCUUACUCGAUGAAUGCUUAAUAACGUAACACUCUUAUGUGUCAUAUCUAAAGAUGAAUAUGACAUGUUAAAAGAGAUAUGUAGUAUGCCAAUAUAUGACUUGUUCAUGAUGCUACAACUUUAUAUAAUAUAUUAAAAAUAUUUAUAACAUANUCAUGAUGCUACAACUUUAUAUAAUAUAUUAAAAAUAUUUAUAACAUAGACAUCAAUCACAAAAACAGAAACAUCUCAAAGAUUUUGUAUUUAUAUUUAUUAUCAUCAAGAUGCUAUCUACUGUGUCAUGUUCUAAGAACUCAUCUAAAAUUUGCUUGUCAUGAGUUUGAUUUUUAGCCUAUGAAGUUUGAUAUUUAAAAUUUGUUUAAUAGGAUGAGAUUUAUAAAGCAUUCUAUGUAUAUGAUAUCCUCUUUUGAUACAGUUUUGGUUGUAAUUAGGAUUUUUGAAAGAAAUCUAAAUUGAGUAAAUUGUUAUCAAAUGAGUAAACUCGUCAAAGAAACGCUAAAUAGCAUUAUUUUUCAGUUUAGUAUUUGAACGUAAACUAUACUUAGGAUAAAACUAGUUAAACUUAAUUAAACUUGAUUUAUUACAUUCGAAAGCUAAUUUAUUUUUUGGGUUGUUCUGAUAUCUCAGAAAAUAGUUUAGAGGAAGAAUUAAAGAUUUUAUUUUUUGGUUAGAGGAAAGUUGAAGAUCCAAUUACUUGCUUAUUGUGAAAAUUGGGCCAAACAGAAAGCCCAUACCAUUAAACACUGAAACAUAAACCAUUCUCUGCACAAAUUAAGAGUGAAGCAACGACAAUGAAACCCGUUUCUCAUAAAUGGGGUUACAUUCGAAUCAUGGCCGGUACAACCCUCGGAGGCAUCCUCGGAUUCUACGUUAUGCACCGAUUCUACGUUAUGCACCGUGUUGAAUCUAACUACAAGGUUAGCAUACCUUCACUCUCUUCUUUUAAAGAUUUAUGAAGAUCCUUUGAAGACUUAUUUUUGUUAUGAAAAGUUUUUGUAAUAAUUGUAGUUUAAUUGUUUAGGACUUAGAUUUGUAGUAGAUUUUGAUUUUUGUACCUUUAUAUUUUGUAUUUGUUGUUUAGAAUCAAAACUUCCCUAUUUUAAUCGAUUAAUCCUUGAUAUAAUCGAUUAAAAUCGCUGCAGAAACCAAAACCCAAUAAACUUUGGAAUAAUCGAUUAAAGCAAGUUUUAAUCGAUUAGUUAAUCGAUUAAUCCUGAGAAUAAUCGAUUAAUACUAGUCGUUGGAGGUUUCUGAUUUGAAAAACUAGCCGUUGUACUUAUUUUAAUCUAUUAACACUAAUAUUAAUCGAUUAAAUGCGUUAAAUGGCCAGUUUCGUAUAAUGGAAGAGUUUUUGCUUGAGUCUAUUUAUAAGUUUUCUUUAUCCAUCAACAACAACUCUUCCCUUUUGCUAAAACACUCAGUGAGGAGUGUGUGCUCUUGCUCAGCUAAGGAAACUCUUGUCUGUGGUGCUGGUGUAUUGCUACCACAGUGACGGAGGACUGGUUCAUCCUUGAUGCGUCUGAGGAGGUGUGUGGAAGAGGAUCAUCCUUCGUGAAGUAUUCGGAGGAGGUGUCUCAUCCUUUGUGAAGACUCAAAGGAGGUGCAAGUUCAUCUCUUGUGGUAUCAAGAGAGGUGGUUUUUAAACUCUUACAAAUUUUUUCUUUGUGAUUGUAAUUUGUAAUUGUUUUGUGAUUAGUGAACUGUUUAUCUUGGUUUGAGAUAAGCGAGUGGACGUAGAAUUGGUAAGAUCCGAACCAGUAUAAAAUUAUAUGUGCAAAUUUCUCUCAACCUUACUCUUUUAUUUAUAUUUAUUAUUUGUGUAGUAAGAUAAAUUGAGAUGAAAUUAAAGACACACAUUUAUAUUAAAACCCCUAUUGGUUUGUUAUUCCAUGCUAACAAUUCCGCUGCAGGCCAUUCUAACAAUAUAUUAUGUUUUAAAUUUAUUAUUAUUAAAAAAAUAGAUUCAAAAGAAAAAUAAAGUUUGUGUGUACUCACGGGUCAAGAUACUACUCCUCCUAAAAACGUUUCCCGUGGAACACCACAAUCCAUCAUCAACUCCAUCCUCUCACAAACACAUCCCAUCUUCUACCAACCUUGGGGAAAGGUUUAUGUCCAACAUGGCGUAUUGAUAAAAACCCAC
This 3389-nucleotide long non-coding RNA is filed under the name Vigna radiata. Lineage: Eukaryota; Viridiplantae; Streptophyta; Magnoliopsida; Fabales; Fabaceae. The record is from RNAcentral.